UACAGAGGUCUCAAGCGUUGUUCGGAAUCAUUGGGCUUAAAGAGUGCGUAGGCGCGCGACAAGUGAGGGGUGAAAUCCUGUCGGCUCAACCGUAGGGUGGCCAUUCAUACUGUCGCGCUCGAGGGAGGUAGGGGCCGGCGGAACUUCCAGUGGAGCGGUGAAAUGUGUUGAGAUUGGAAGGAACGCCAGUGGCGAAAGCGGCCGGCUGGAUCUCUACUGACGCUGAGGCACGAAAGCCAGGGGAGCAAACGGG
This 253-nucleotide ribosomal RNA is filed under the name uncultured bacterium. Its description in RNAcentral is "partial 16S ribosomal RNA". It matches the Rfam family "Bacterial small subunit ribosomal RNA", at positions 524 to 776 of the family's 1533-position model. The record is from RNAcentral.